Molecule: ribosomal RNA, 790 nt
Filed under: Serratia marcescens
Lineage: Bacteria; Pseudomonadati; Pseudomonadota; Gammaproteobacteria; Enterobacterales; Yersiniaceae
Also listed under: 2 other names
Description: partial 23S ribosomal RNA
Rfam family: Bacterial large subunit ribosomal RNA
Source: RNAcentral
UAGUUGCAAGGUAUAGACCCGAAACCCGGUGAUCUAGCCAUGGGCAGGUUGAAGGUUGGGUAACACUAACUGGAGGACCGAACCGACUAAUGUUGAAAAAUUAGCGGAUGACUUGUGGCUGGGGGUGAAAGGCCAAUCAAACCGGGAGAUAGCUGGUUCUCCCCGAAAGCUAUUUAGGUAGCGCCUCGUGAACUCAUCUUCGGGGGUAGAGCACUGUUUCGGCUAGGGGGCCAUCCCGGCUUACCAAACCGAUGCAAACUCCGAAUACCGAAGAAUGUUAUCACGGGAGACACACGGCGGGUGCUAACGUCCGUCGUGAAGAGGGAAACAACCCAGACCGCCAGCUAAGGUCCCAAAGUCAUGGUUAAGUGGGAAACGAUGUGGGAAGGCACAGACAGCCAGGAUGUUGGCUUAGAAGCAGCCAUCAUUUAAAGAAAGCGUAAUAGCUCACUGGUCGAGUCGGCCUGCGCGGAAGAUGUAACGGGGCUAAACCAUGCACCGAAGCUGCGGCAGCGACGCUUAGGCGUUGUUGGGUAGGGGAGCGUUCUGUAAGCCGUUGAAGGUGGCCUGUGAGGGUUGCUGGAGGUAUCAGAAGUGCGAAUGCUGACAUAAGUAACGAUAAAGCGGGUGAAAAGCCCGCUCGCCGGAAGACCAAGGGUUCCUGUCCAACGUUAAUCGGGGCAGGGUGAGUCGACCCCUAAGGCGAGGCUGAAAAGCGUAGUCGAUGGGAAACAGGUUAAUAUUCCUGUACUUGGUGUUACUGCGAAGGGGGGACGGAGAAGGCUAGGCU